Molecule: transfer RNA, 64 nt
Filed under: Epeorus psi
Lineage: Eukaryota; Metazoa; Arthropoda; Insecta; Ephemeroptera; Heptageniidae
Description: tRNA-Gly
Rfam family: tRNA
About the family: Transfer RNA (tRNA) molecules are approximately 80 nucleotides in length. Their secondary structure includes four short double-helical elements and three loops (D, anti-codon, and T loops).
Source: RNAcentral
AUCUAUUUAGUAUAUCAGUAUAUUUGACUUCCAAUCAAAAGGUUUGGGUACCCCAAAAUAGAUA